This 496-nucleotide ribosomal RNA is filed under the name uncultured bacterium. RNAcentral describes it as "partial 16S ribosomal RNA". It matches the Rfam family "Bacterial small subunit ribosomal RNA", at positions 28 to 506 of the family's 1533-position model. The record is from RNAcentral.
GAUGAACGCUGGCGGCGUGCCUAAUACAUGCAAGUCGAGCGAACGGACGAGAAGCUUGCUUCUCUGAUGUUAGCGGCGGACGGGUGAGUAACACGUGGAUAACCUACCUAUAAGACUGGGAUAACUUCGGGAAACCGGAGCUAAUACCGGAUAAUAUUUUGAACCGCAUGGUUCAAAAGUGAAAGACGGUCUUGCUGUCACUUAUAGAUGGAUCCGCGCUGCAUUAGCUAGUUGGUAAGGUAACGGCUUACCAAGGCAACGAUGCAUAGCCGACCUGAGAGGGUGAUCGGCCACACUGGAACUGAGACACGGUCCAGACUCCUACGGGAGGCAGCAGUAGGGAAUCUUCCGCAAUGGGCGAAAGCCUGACGGAGCAAUGCCGCGUGAGUGAUGAAGGUCUUCGGAUCGUAAAACUCUGUUAUUAGGGAAGAACAUAUGUGUAAGUAACUGUGCACAUCUUGACGGUACCUAAUCAGAAAGCCACGGCUAACUACGU